Molecule: ribosomal RNA, 373 nt
Filed under: uncultured organism
Description: partial 16S ribosomal RNA
Rfam family: Bacterial small subunit ribosomal RNA
Source: RNAcentral
GGAAGGUGCAAGCGUUAAUCGGAAUCACUGGGCGUAAAGCGCGCGUAGGCGGUUAGAUAAGUCGGGUGUGAAAGCCCCGGGCUCAACCUGGGAACUGCAUUCGAUACUGUCUGACUAGAGUGUGAUAGAGGGAGGCGGAAUUCCGCAUGUAGCGGUGAAAUGCGUAGAGAUGCGGAGGAACACCAAUGGCGAAGGCAGCCUCCUGGAUCAACACUGACGCUGAGGUGCGAAAGCGUGGGGGGAGCAAACAGGAUUAGAUACCCUGGUAGUCCACGCUGUAAACGAUGUCAACUAGCCGUUGGGAGCAAUUUGGCUCUUGGUGGCGCAGCUAACGCGAUAAGUUGACCGCCUGGGGAGUACGGUCGCAAGAUUA